RNAcentral lists this ribosomal RNA (253 nucleotides) under uncultured bacterium. Its description in RNAcentral is "partial 16S ribosomal RNA". It matches the Rfam family "Bacterial small subunit ribosomal RNA", at positions 524 to 776 of the family's 1533-position model. The record is from RNAcentral.
UACGAGGGGGGCGAGCGUUGUUCGGAAUUAUUGGGCGUAAAGGGUGCGUAGGCGGUUUGGUAAGUCUUGUGUGAAAUCUCCAGGCUCAACUUGGAGUCUGCACGAGAAACUGCCGGGCUUGAGUGUGGGAGAGGUGAGUGGAAUUCCCGGUGUAGCGGUGAAAUGCGCAGAUAUCGGGAAGAACACCCGUGGCGAAGGCGGCUCUCUGGGACGGUACUGACGCUGAGACGCGAAAGCGUGGGGAGCGAACAGG